UCAUCUCAUCUCAUCUCUCUUCUCUCAUCUUCCCACCGAUCCAUAGAACUUCAAACCUCCAUCUCAUCUCCUCCGGUCCAUGUACGCAUCGAUCCAUAGAACUUCUCUCAUCUCCAUCGAUCCAUAGAACUUCAACCUCCAUCUCCAUCUCCAUCGAUCCGUAGAAGCUACUUUAAGAUAAUCCUUAAACUUAUGGUUAUAGUAUGAGUUGGGUUUUUGGGUUUGGAGUAGUGGGGCUUCUGGGUUUUAUUGUUUUUUUGUUUAGUUUGAACUCUUAGCAAACCCCCAAAAGUUCUUUGCUCGUUUUGUAUGAUUUUAAUGGGUUAAGUUUAAAACUGGUACUUUUGUUAUUUACAGCUUGUGAUUCUCGAUUUCAGAAGAGUGAAGUCACUUCCGGAAUCAAUUAUUCACAAGCCUGUGAUUUGAUUUGUUGCUGUAUUCCAAGGCUGUCAAGAUGAACAAUCAUGAUAGUUGAUCGGAUGAGGAAUGUCGGUACUUUCUUCAACUUUAUACUACCGAGAAAAGAAUGGGGAACACAACAAAGAUAGGAUUGAAUCAGAUUGGAAAGGAUUCUGUCACAAAGAAGUUUGAAGAGAAAUUUCAAAAGAAAUAUCUAUGGAUUAGGUUUAAAAACAAGUAUGAUGUGUGUAGAAGAUCAUACAAUAGGUAUAAGAUCUUGCUCUGUAACAUAACUGAAAUUACCUUUGAUGCUUUUGGAAGAAUAGACAUGACUGAUAAUUGGUGUAAUGAACGAAUUAAGGAAUGACCUGAAGCUGUAAAGUAUAAGAACCAACUCCUGCCCAACAUGGAUGUUUUUAGAGAGGCGUUUUGUUCAGUUAUUGUUACUGGAGCAGAGGGAUGGAGCACCCAACAAGGAGAAACAAGUUUAGAUUCUAGAGUUGAUGCAGAAAAUGGUGAUGAAGCAGAUUCAGUUGAUACAAGUGGUAGGAACACAGUUUAGAGAGAGAAGUUCUGGAUCAGAAAGAAAGCGGAAGGAGGUUGACUUAGCUACAGAGACUUCUUCUUCAAGAAACUUGAUUCUUACUCGUAAGAAUGAAUUAGUUGAGAAGAUGUUGGAGCGUGAUGAUAUUUGCAGUGUUGUGUGUGUAGUAGAGAUUAUGAAUGAUGUCGCCAAUCAACAGGGUUUCAUUGCUUUUUCUAGUAUUGAGGAUAAGAUUAGUUAUAUGGAGCAUAGGACUGAAAUAUGUAUUGAUGACUAAACUUGUUUAUUUGUUGAUCACUUUGCUAUGGUUAUUUUAUGAAAUUUUUAGAACUUGUUUAU
Non-coding RNA from Camelina sativa (false flax), 1282 nucleotides. NCBI's taxonomy places the organism in Eukaryota, Viridiplantae, Streptophyta, Magnoliopsida, Brassicales, Brassicaceae. The record is from RefSeq and is a predicted model, not a curated record.